GUUCUUUAGCAAGUUAUUUAGACGAAUGAAAUAAAUUUUAAUUUAAACGUCAUGGCCACAUUUCAAGCGAAGACCGAUAGAAAGCAAAUUUCGAUCAUAUUGAAUCUAAUGAAGUUAGAUUGUGUUGAUUUGUAUAAAAAAAUUCAUACGAAAAAAUCGCAACUCAAACAUGCUAUUGAGCUGUAUGAAGCGUUUAUGACAGACGAAAUAAAUACACUUUUUCAGUGUAACAAUAAUUUCAGUGACAUGGUGUUGAAACAUCGAAAAAGAUUUCAAACAUUUAUCGACGAUACAAUGAAAUCGAUUUUUGGUGAUGGAACAAAUCAAACGAAUGACAAAAUUGCCGACGAUGAUAACAAUAUUUAUGUGAUGUUCAUAUCGCUUCAAGAAUGGUACAUUCAAGGUUCCAAAGGUCAACAAUUUUAUUUUAUGAUUGACAUCGACUCAUUCAGCUACACAAAACUGGCGUCCCUAAAUUUUGCAUACACUUCACAAAAGACAGACAAUUCGAAUAGAAAUAAGAAGAACGGCAUUGGAACUGAUAAACGGGCCAGAAUCAUUGCAAUCGAUUUCAAGCACGAAACGUUCAUUGCAUUCAAAGCUGAUGAGACGAUUGAUUGUGAUAAUUGCACAAAGAAGAACAUCAAGCAAAUACAACACUUCUUAAAAAAGAAUCAAUCGACCGGCAUUAUGCCAACAAAGUGUGUAUUAAUCUUGUUGAAGCGUCUUUUCUAUGGCGUCGAUCACAUCGAAUGUACCGAGAAAAAUGUGCACACAAGCAAUUUGACUGUCAGCUAUAACUUUCAAUUUACGGAAACAAGUAAAACGUCCCAUAUUCAUGCGCAGAACCUAGCCGGAAUGCAGGCAUUGCAAACGCUUUGCGAAAUUGAAAACAAAUUUAUUCGAACCAAACGAAAUGAUAAUUAUCCACAAGAUUUUGCGUCCGAAAUUCAAAAAUUGAUAAUGAAUGGAUUUAAGACACAUUGUUCCAAAGUACUUAAUUUGGAUAAUAAAUCAAAUGUUUUGGCUGGUGUGAUUCAGACCAAAAAUGGAAUCGAUUUGACCACGGCCAGAGUUGUUGCAUUGUCAACAGGAACGAAAAACAUUGACGCUGAUGAACUUUUCAUCGCACAUGAUGGCAAUUUGCCAGAUACACACGCCGAAAUAGUGGUUCGACGAUGUUUAAUGUACUACCUUUAUGAUCAAAUGAAUUUAUUUCUGACACCAGAAACAUCGUAUCAAUCGAUUUUUGAGAAGUCACCACGAAGUUUGAAAAUAAGGCUAAAGGAUAAUAUUCGCUUUCAUUUGUACAUCAGCCAAGGUCCUUGCGGAGAUGCAACAUUUUUAGGUAAACAUGGUAACGCUGCAGAACAUCCAGAUCGUGAUAAACUUCGUGCAAAGGUGGAAAAGAGCAAAGGUUACAAACUAAUUUCAGAUUUGGAAAAUAUGCAAAAUGGAAGCGAUUUACAGACUCAACCUCUGUAUACAAUGUCCUGUUCAGAUAAAAUUGCUCGUUGGAAUGUGGUUGGUAUUCAAGGUGCUUUGUUAUCACGAAUUAUUGAACCGAUUUAUUUCGAUUCAAUUAUCUUGGGCAAAUAUCAAGCAAGAGACCAAGUAAAACGCUCAUUUUAUGGUCGAAUCGAACAUUCAAUUGGCUACUUACCGCAAUUUUAUUACCAUAAUGAGCCGUACAUUGCUUUCACCGUAUCAGGCAAUAGGAUGGUGCACCACGGAGCCCCGUCGUGUUCAUACAAUUGGAUCACCGGUUACAGUCAUGUCGAAGAAGUUGAAUCGAAAAGUGGAAAAGCGAAAAACGACACUGGCAUUUCGCGGCUUUCAAAACGAAGUCUAUUUCGUAAAUUUUUGAACAUAAAACGAAAAUUGCCUGACAUUGAUCACACCGACACAGGCAUUGCUGUUUAUGAAAAUGAAAAGUUCAAGGCUGAAGAUUAUCAGAAUGCAAAAGAUGCGUUAAUUGAUGCUUUCGACCGUUUAAACUUGGGAAACUGGAAACUGGCACAAAAGCCAAUGGAAAUCGACCGGGGAAUUGAAGAAAGAGUUUAGGAGUAAAAACAAACUUUUCUAUUUCAUUACAUUUUGACUAAAACAAUUCAUUUUUUAUUUAUAAACUGUUAAUCAACGUCCAAAGUAAACAUUGUCAAUGUCCAAAACACACAAAAUAGGAACAAUUUCAAGCAAUUUUUGCUCUUUCUAUAUCGUUUGACCAUAUUUUAGUAAAACUCAUUUAAGUCUAUGGCGCCGUAAGAAUGUUCAAUGUAAAAAAAGUACAAAGCCGAAGUGACUCAUACACACUUGCACACACAGAAUGUGUUUGCAUUAAACAACAAGUUAAAUUACAUAAUUAACUGCAUAAUAUUUACAAGAUAACGCCGCGUUGGUAAAAGAACACGGUCUAUGCAUAAAUUUGUAUUCAUGCCUUUAAUAUAAUUAGGCGAGGCAUAUAACUGGUGAAAAAAGGAUUUUAUGGCAUUGUUAAAUUAGCCCCUUUCACAACAUUAACGUAUUUUUUAUAGCUAGAAUACCAGUACAAUCUAUUUAAAAAAUGUACAAUUCCAUAAGGCUCUUAAACAUAUCAAACGCUCUUAAAGCAAAAUUCGUGUAAAAAAUAUUAAAAUUUCAUCUUAUGGAAUUUACCCAUUCACUUUGAUAUUUUACCCAAAAAAACUAUACUGUACCUUUCAAAAGUGCACGGAAAUACAUAGAAAAAGUCAUUACCCAUACCAAAACGUAAGUCACGUACAGUUAAUGGCAAAAAAAGUUUUCGAAUAAAAA
RNA transcript from Contarinia nasturtii (swede midge), 2793 nucleotides. It is a transcript of the gene named double-stranded RNA-specific editase Adar-like, with no coding region annotated. The transcript has 11 exons. The record is from RefSeq and is a predicted model, not a curated record. NCBI's taxonomy places the organism in Eukaryota, Metazoa, Arthropoda, Insecta, Diptera, Cecidomyiidae.